RNAcentral lists this ribosomal RNA (465 nucleotides) under Vreelandella stevensii. RNAcentral's name for it is "partial 16S ribosomal RNA". It matches the Rfam family "Bacterial small subunit ribosomal RNA", at positions 338 to 795 of the family's 1533-position model. The record is from RNAcentral. Lineage: Bacteria; Pseudomonadati; Pseudomonadota; Gammaproteobacteria; Oceanospirillales; Halomonadaceae.
CCUACGGGAGGCUGCAGUGGGGAAUAUUGGACAAUGGGCGAAAGCCUGAUCCAGCCAUGCCGCGUGUGUGAAGAAGGCCUUCGGGUUGUAAAGCACUUUCAGUGGGGAAGAAAGCCUUGGGGCUAAUACCCUCGAGGAAGGACAUCACCCACAGAAGAAGCACCGGCUAACUCCGUGCCAGCAGCCGCGGUAAUACGGAGGGUGCGAGCGUUAAUCGGAAUUACUGGGCGUAAAGCGCGCGUAGGCGGUCUGAUAAGCCGGUUGUGAAAGCCCCGGGCUCAACCUGGGAACGGCAUCCGGAACUGUCAGGCUAGAGUGCAGGAGAGGAAGGUAGAAUUCCCGGUGUAGCGGUGAAAUGCGUAGAGAUCGGGAGGAAUACCAGAGGCGAAGGCGGCCUUCUGGACUGACACUGACGCUGAGGUGCGAAAGCGUGGGUAGCAAACAGGAUUAGAUACCCCAGUAGUC